RNAcentral lists this ribosomal RNA (255 nucleotides) under uncultured bacterium. RNAcentral's name for it is "partial 16S ribosomal RNA". It matches the Rfam family "Bacterial small subunit ribosomal RNA", at positions 99 to 354 of the family's 1533-position model. The record is from RNAcentral.
CGAACGGGUGAGUAACACGUGAGCAACCUGCCCUAUACAACGGGAUAACACAGAGAAAUUUGUGCUAAUACGGUAUAAGACCACAGUAUCGCAUGAUACAGGGGUAAAAGAUUUAUCGGUAUAGGAUGGGCUCGCGACCCAUUAGCUAGUUGGUGAGGUAACGGCCCACCAAGGCAACGAUGGGUAGCCGACCUGAGAGGGUGAUCGGCCACACUGGGACUGAGACACGGCCCAGACUCCUACGGGAGGCAGCAG